GAUGAACGCUGGCGGCGUGCCUAAUACAUGCAAGUCGAACGGACAGACCAUGAGCUUGCGCUUAUGACGUUAGCGGCGAGCGGGAGGGUAACAAGUGGAUCACCUACCUAUGAGACCGGGAUGACAUCGUGAAACAGGCGCUAAUCCCGCAGAAUAUAUUGAGCGGCAGGGUGCAAUAGUGAAAGACGGUUUUUCUGUCACUUAUAGAUGAAUCCGCGCCGCAUUAGCUAGUUGGUAAGGUCACGGCCUACCAAGGCAACGAUGCGUAGCCGACGUGAGAGGGGGAUCGGCCACCCUGGAACGGAGACACGGACCAGACUCCUGCGGGACGGCGCAGUAGGGAAUCUGCGGCAAUAGGCGAAAGCCUGACGGAGCGACGCCGCGUGAGAUACGAAGGCGUUGCGUGCGGAAAACCCUGUUAUUGGGGAAGAACAACUGUCUAAGUAAAUAUGGAGGUCGUGACGGUACCUGAAGAGAAAGCCCCGGCUAACUACGUG
RNAcentral lists this ribosomal RNA (497 nucleotides) under uncultured bacterium. RNAcentral's name for it is "partial 16S ribosomal RNA". It matches the Rfam family "Bacterial small subunit ribosomal RNA", at positions 28 to 507 of the family's 1533-position model. The record is from RNAcentral.